AAUAGGAAUGUGGAGGUGGGAGGGGAAAAUCAGCCGGGCUCCGACUACUCGGCUGCCUCGGUGUAGCAGCAAGGAAAAUAAGCUGAGGACAGAGAAAUAA
This 100-nucleotide long non-coding RNA is filed under the name Ficedula albicollis (Collared flycatcher). RNAcentral describes it as "lncRNA (ENSFALG00000023294.1)". Lineage: Eukaryota; Metazoa; Chordata; Aves; Passeriformes; Muscicapidae. The record is from RNAcentral.